CACCACUCGAGCCCAGCUCGGUGUUGGGCGCCGCGUCCACCGCGCGCCUUAAAGUCCUCGGCCGUGUGGUCCAUCCCCGAGCGUUGUGGCAUUACGUCUCGCUUUGGGUCGAUGGGUCCCGUCGGCCGUUAAGCCUUCUCACA
Molecule: unclassified non-coding RNA, 143 nt
Filed under: uncultured fungus
Lineage: Eukaryota; Fungi
Description: sequence contains ITS2
Source: RNAcentral